Molecule: ribosomal RNA, 495 nt
Filed under: uncultured bacterium
Lineage: Bacteria
Description: partial 16S ribosomal RNA
Rfam family: Bacterial small subunit ribosomal RNA
Source: RNAcentral
GACGAACGCUGGCGGCGUGCCUAAUACAUGCAAGUCGAACGCUGAAGGAGGAGCUUGCUCUUCUGGAUGAGUUGCGAACGGGUGAGUAACGCGUAGGUAACCUGCCUGGUAGCGGGGGAUAACUAUUGGAAACGAUAGCUAAUACCGCAUAACAGCAGAUGUUGCAUGACAUUUACUUAAAAGGUGCAAUUGCAUCACUACCAGAUGGACCUGCGUUGUAUUAGCUAGUUGGUGGGGUAACGGCUCACCAAGGCGACGAUACAUAGCCGACCUGAGAGGGUGAUCGGCCACACUGGGACUGAGACACGGCCCAGACUCCUACGGGAGGCAGCAGUAGGGAAUCUUCGGCAAUGGACGGAAGUCUGACCGAGCAACGCCGCGUGAGUGAAGAAGGUUUUCGGAUCGUAAAGCUCUGUUGUAAGAGAAGAACGAGUGUGAGAGUGGAAAGUUCACACUGUGACGGUAUCUUACCAGAAAGGGACGGCUAACUACGUG